AGAGGCUCUGCAUGCCCAGGAGGCUUCUCUGAGACUGGGAAGGAGUGGAAACUCAGUAGCCCGUGGUCCUGGUUGCGCGCUCCCUCCCAUGUCUUCAUUAUCUGAUUUGGUAAAAUAUCUACAAGACGGGGGAGUCCGGGCUGCUUUCUUUGACACUGGUCAUCACUCCACACCUAGACGCUAUGUCCAUGUCUGGAAGAUGCUUUUAAGGAAGUUUUGAUGCAGAGAAGAGUGGCCGGUGCUCUUCCUCGCGUGCCACCAUCUGCUUACUUCCAGAAGCUAAUUAUUUUCAUGUGACUGAUGUGACUAAUAUUUUUUAACGCCUGCAGGUUCGUUAUGUACCAGCAAAUGUUCAUGGUACUGAAGAUAUACCAGUUGAAGAGAAAGAAUGUUCUUGUUGUCAUAGUACCUAUUUGCUACGAGGUCAAAUCUUGUUCCUGGAAGAAAUGUACAAAUAUUAAUACUUAAAACAGUAUUUUCCAUUAAGAAGAGAAUUUUAUUCUGAUGUGAAGGAGCCUAUGAAGAUCAACAAGGAGAAUUUCCAAGAGUCAUGUCAGCCUCCAGUAUCACCUCAACACAUCCAACUUCCUUCUUGUUGAUGGGGAUUCCAGGCCUGGAGCACCUGCACAUCUGGAUCUCCAUCCCCUUCUCAGCAUAUACACUGGCCCUGCUUGGAAACUGCACCCUCCUUCUCAUCAUCCAGGCUGAUGCAGCCCUCCAUGAGCCCAUAUACCUCUUUCUGGCCAUGUUGGCAGCCAUCGACCUGGUCCUUUCCUCCUCAGCAUUGCCCAAAAUGCUUGCCAUAUUCUGGUUCAGGGAUCGGGAGAUCAACUUUUUUGCCUGUCUGGUCCAGAUGUUCUUCCUUCACUCCUUCUCCAUCAUGGAGUCAGCAGUGCUGCUGGCCAUGGCCUUUGACCGCUAUGUGGCCAUCUGCAAGCCACUGCACUACACCACGGUCCUGACUGGGUCCCUCAUCACCAAGAUUGGCAUGGCUGCUGUGGCCCGGGCUGUGACACUAAUGACUCCACUCCCCUUCCUGCUGAGAUGUUUCCACUACUGCCGAGGCCCAGUGAUUGCCCGCUGCUACUGUGAACACAUGGCUGUGGUCAGGCUGGCUGUGGGAACACUAGCUUCAACAAUAUCUAUGGCAUUGCUGUGGCCAUGUUUAUUGGAGUGUUGGAUCUAUUCUUUAUCAUCCUAUCUUAUAUCUUUAUCCUUCAGGCAGUUCUACAACUCUCCUCUCAGGAGGCCCGCUACAAAGCAUUUGGGACAUGUGUCUCUCACAUAGGUGCCAUCUUAGCCUUCUACACACCUUCAGUCAUCUCUUCAGUCAUGCACCGUGUGGCCCGCUGUGCUGCGCCACACGUCCACAUUCUCCUCGCCAAUUUCUAUCUGCUCUUCCCACCCAUGGUCAAUCCCAUCAUCUACGGCGUUAAGACCAAGCAGAUCCGUGACAGUCUUGGGAGUAUUCCCGAGAAAGGAUGUGUGAAUAGAGAGUGAGGAAUAAGUGGAAAAAGAGUGGGGCACAGUGAAUGCUGUAGUGGGCCAGGGCUGUGCUGAGAGUAGAUGGGUGCUAGACUCCACGUUUAGUUCUUUUCUUGUAUUAUGGAAAGAAUAAAUGAUGUCCUGAAGCUCAGUGCCAACAGUCUGUUUAGAAUUUGUGGGUCUUUGCCCUCUGGUAGCCUCUGGAUUGAACCUGGUGACUGUGCUGUCUCCUCACAGAGCCCUGACUCCUGUCAGUAAACUUGACAGAGUCUUGACCCUCCGGCCUCAUGGUGACUUUGCUGAAGGACACAAAGAUGCUUCCAAGUUCAUUUGCCUAAGAGAAGACUGUGAAAAUCUGAAUUUCCAUCUCUGACUUGUUGGAAAUUUGGUGAAUUAUCCACUCAGAUUCCCGAGUUAGGACCUCUACUCCAUCCAGUGCAGGAGUUCUGCUACAUUCUAACAGUUGAACCCUAGACUCUACCUAAACACUGUCAGUGCUGGUGCACAUGCAUCCUUUAGGCCUAUUUAUUCCAAGUGAGACAGCUCUGCUUGUUAGAAGGUUAUUUCUUCAACUAAGCCAGUCUGUAUUCUUUGACUUCUUUUUACCUCCUCAUCCUCAUGGCUAUUCCAUCUCAUUAAAUACUUUGAAGAAAAACCAUA
Long non-coding RNA from Homo sapiens (human), 2145 nucleotides. Lineage: Eukaryota; Metazoa; Chordata; Mammalia; Primates; Hominidae. The record is from Ensembl.